Molecule: small nuclear RNA, 164 nt
Filed under: Cebus imitator (Panamanian white-faced capuchin)
Lineage: Eukaryota; Metazoa; Chordata; Mammalia; Primates; Cebidae
Description: U1 spliceosomal RNA (ENSCCAG00000019491.1)
Rfam family: U1 spliceosomal RNA
About the family: U1 is a small nuclear RNA (snRNA) component of the spliceosome (involved in pre-mRNA splicing). Its 5' end forms complementary base pairs with the 5' splice junction, thus defining the 5' donor site of an intron.
Source: Rfam by way of RNAcentral
AUACUUACCUGGCAGGGGAGAUACCAUCAUCACAAAGGUGGUUUUCCCAGGGCGAGGCUCAUCCAUUGCACUCCGGAUGUACGGACCCCUGAGAUUUCCCCAAAGGAGGGAAACUUGAUUGCAUAAUUUGUAGUAGUGGGGGACUGCGUUUGCGCUUUCCCCUG